UGGGGUAUAGCCAAGCGGUAAGGCAACGGACUUUGACUCCGUCACUCCCUGGUUCGAAUCCAGGUACCCCAGCCA
This 75-nucleotide transfer RNA is filed under the name Aneurinibacillus soli. RNAcentral describes it as "tRNA-Gln". It matches the Rfam family "tRNA". Rfam says of the family: Transfer RNA (tRNA) molecules are approximately 80 nucleotides in length. Their secondary structure includes four short double-helical elements and three loops (D, anti-codon, and T loops). Further hydrogen bonds mediate the characteristic L-shaped molecular structure. tRNAs have two regions of fundamental functional importance: the anti-codon, which is responsible for specific mRNA codon recognition, and the 3' end, to which the tRNAs corresponding amino acid is attached (by aminoacyl-tRNA synthetases). tRNAs cope with the degeneracy of the genetic code in two manners: having more than one tRNA (with a specific anti-codon) for a particular amino acid; and 'wobble' base-pairing, i.e. permitting non-standard base-pairing at the 3rd anti-codon position. RNAcentral also lists the same sequence under 1 other name. Lineage: Bacteria; Bacillati; Bacillota; Bacilli; Caryophanales; Paenibacillaceae. The record is from RNAcentral.